ACCAAAAAAUGGUCAAAAAAGAGCAAUAAUCAAAGUAAGUAACAACAAUAUUAAAACAAAUAGGAAUUUUAUAUCAAUUGGAAGGAUUGAUGAGAAGCAACAAGGUGGAUAUUAAAUAACAACAACCAAGAGCAAGUUCACAUUGAUUGGAAUGAUAAAUGGAUAACAACAACAACAACAACAAAAUGAAAAAGAAUUUAUAGAAUGAAGAAAGGUGGGCAAGAAUUCGUGGCAUGAAUAUAGUUUUGAAUAUGAUGGGCAAAGUUAAAGUGGACAU
Molecule: long non-coding RNA, 277 nt
Filed under: Physcomitrium patens
Lineage: Eukaryota; Viridiplantae; Streptophyta; Bryopsida; Funariales; Funariaceae
Description: long non-coding RNA (PPAT_LNC013324)
Source: RNAcentral